RNAcentral lists this ribosomal RNA (211 nucleotides) under uncultured bacterium. Its description in RNAcentral is "partial 16S ribosomal RNA". It matches the Rfam family "Bacterial small subunit ribosomal RNA", at positions 568 to 774 of the family's 1533-position model. The record is from RNAcentral.
UGCGUAGGCGGUUCGUUAAGUCUGUCGUGAAAUCCCCGGGCUACAACCCGUGGGAAUGGCGAUGGAUACUGGCGAGCUAGAGUGUGUCAGAGGAGUGGUGGAAUUUCCGGUGUAGCGGUGAAAUGCGUAGAGAUCGGAAGGAACAUCAGUGGCGAAGGCCGGCCAUCUGGGACAACACUGACGCUGAAGCACGAAAGCGUGGGAGCAAACA